UACGUAGGGCGCAAGCGUUAUCCGGAAUUAUUGGGCGUAAAGAGCUCGUAGGCGGUUUGUCGCGUCUGCUGUGAAAACGCGAGGCUCAACCUCGCGCCUGCAGUGGGUACGGGCAGACUAGAGUGUGGUAGGGGAGAUUGGAAUUCCUGGUGUAGCGGUGGAAUGCGCAGAUAUCAGGAGGAACACCGAUGGCGAAGGCAGAUCUCUGGGCCAUUACUGACGCUGAGGAGCGAAAGCGUGGGGAGCGAACAGG
RNAcentral lists this ribosomal RNA (253 nucleotides) under uncultured bacterium. Its description in RNAcentral is "partial 16S ribosomal RNA". It matches the Rfam family "Bacterial small subunit ribosomal RNA", at positions 524 to 776 of the family's 1533-position model. The record is from RNAcentral.